UACGAAGGUGGCUAGCGUUGUUCGGAUUUACUGGGCGUAAAGGGCGCGUAGGCGGUUUAUCAAGUCAGGGGUGAAAUCCCAAGGCUCAACCUUGGAAUGGCCUUUGAUACUGAUAGACUUAGAGUGUGAUAGAGGGCGGUGGAAUUCCCAGUGUAGAGGUGAAAUUCGUAGAUAUUGGGAGGAACACCAGUGGCGAAAGCGGCCGCCUGGAUCACAACUGACGCUGAGGCGCGAAAGCGUGGGGA
Molecule: ribosomal RNA, 245 nt
Filed under: uncultured bacterium
Lineage: Bacteria
Description: partial 16S ribosomal RNA
Rfam family: Bacterial small subunit ribosomal RNA
Source: RNAcentral